RNAcentral lists this transfer RNA (74 nucleotides) under Candidatus Woesearchaeota archaeon. Its description in RNAcentral is "tRNA-Arg". It matches the Rfam family "tRNA". From Rfam's summary of the family: Transfer RNA (tRNA) molecules are approximately 80 nucleotides in length. Lineage: Archaea; Nanobdellati; Candidatus Woesearchaeota. The record is from RNAcentral.
GCUCGGGUAGUAUAGCUUGGACAGUAUACGGCCCUGCGGAGGCUGUGACCGGGGUUCAAAUCCUCGCCCGGGCG